RNAcentral lists this ribosomal RNA (387 nucleotides) under Chlamydomonadales sp. Its description in RNAcentral is "partial small subunit ribosomal RNA". It matches the Rfam family "Eukaryotic small subunit ribosomal RNA", at positions 582 to 975 of the family's 1831-position model. Lineage: Eukaryota; Viridiplantae; Chlorophyta; Chlorophyceae; Chlamydomonadales. The record is from RNAcentral.
AUUCCAGCUCCAAUAGCGUAUAUUAAAGUUGUUGCGGUUAAAAAGCUCGUAGUUGGAUUUCUGCUAGGGACGAUCGGUCCACCCACUGGGUGUGUAUCUGUGUCGGCCUUGGCAUCUUCCUGGCGAACGCAACUGCACUUGACUGUGUGGUGCGGUAUCCAGGACUUUUACUUUGAGUAAAUUAGAGUGUUCAAAGCAGGCAUCGCCUUGAAUAUAUUAGCAUGGAAUAGCACGAUAGGACUCUGGCCUAUUUUGCUGGUCUGUAGGACCGGAGUAAUGAUCAAGAGGGACAGUCGGGGGCAUUCGUAUUUCAUUGUCAGAGGUGAAAUUCUUGGAUUUAUGAAAGACGAACUUCUGCGAAAGCAUUUGCCAAGGAUGUUUUCAUCA